UGGGGAAUUUUGGACAAUGGGCGAAAGCCUGAUCCAGCAAUGCCGCGUGUGUGAAGAAGGCCUUCGGGUUGUAAAGCACUUUUGUCCGGAAAGAAAUCCUUGGCUCUAAUACAGUCGGGGGAUGACGGUACCGGAAGAAUAAGCACCGGCUAACUACGUGCCAGCAGCCGCGGUAAUACGUAGGGUGCAAGCGUUAAUCGGAAUUACUGGGCGUAAAGCGUGCGCAGGCGGUUUGCUAAGACCGAUGUGAAAUCCCCGGGCUCAACCUGGGAACUGCAUUGGUGACUGGCAGGCUAGAGUAUGGCAGAGGGGGGUAGAAUUCCACGUGUAGCAGUGAAAUGCGUAGAGAUGUGGAGGAAUACCGAUGGCGAAGGCAGCCCCCUGGGCCAAUACUGACGCUCAUGCACGAAAGCGUGGGGAGCAGACAGGAUUAGAUACCCUGGUAGUCCACGCCCUAAACGAUGUCAACUAGUUGUUGGGGAUUCAUUUCCUUAGUAACGUAGCUAACGCGUGAAGUUGACCGCCUGGGGAGUACGGUCGCAAGAUUAAAACUUAAAGGAAUUAACGGGGUCAUAGCUG
RNAcentral lists this ribosomal RNA (579 nucleotides) under uncultured bacterium. RNAcentral describes it as "partial 16S ribosomal RNA". It matches the Rfam family "Bacterial small subunit ribosomal RNA", at positions 355 to 932 of the family's 1533-position model. The record is from RNAcentral.